AUCCAGACUCCUACGGGAGGCAGCAGUGGGGAAUAUUGGGCAAUGGAGGCAACUCUUACCCAGCAAUGCCGCGUGAAUGAAGAAGGUCUUCGGAUUGUAAAGUUCUUUAAUUGGGGACGAAAAAAAUGACGGUACCCAAGGAAUAAGCCCCGGCUAACUCCGUGCCAGCAGCCGCGGUAAUACGGAGGAUGCGAGCGUUAUCCGGAUUUAUUGGGUUUAAAGGGUGCGUAGGCGGGCUUUUAAGUCAGCGGUAAAAAUUCGGGGCUCAACCCCGUCCGGCCGUUGAAACUGGGGGCCUUGAGUGGGCGAGAAGAAGGCGGAAUGCGUGGUGUAGCGGUGAAAUGCAUAGAUAUCACGCAGAACCCCGAUUGCGAAGGCAGCCUUCCGGCGCCCUACUGACGCUGAGGCACGAAAGUGCGGGGAUCGAACAGGAUUAGAUACCCCCGUAC
This 449-nucleotide ribosomal RNA is filed under the name uncultured bacterium. RNAcentral's name for it is "partial 16S ribosomal RNA". It matches the Rfam family "Bacterial small subunit ribosomal RNA", at positions 329 to 793 of the family's 1533-position model. The record is from RNAcentral.